CCCGCUGAACUUAAGCAUAUCAAUAAGCGGAGGAAAAGAACCCAACAGGGAUUGCCCUAGUAACGGCGAGUGAAGCGGCAACAGCUCAAAUUUGAAAUCUGGCCUCGGCCCGAGUUGUAAUUUGCAGAGGAUGCUUCUGGCGCGGUGCCUUCCGAGUUCCCUGGAACGGGACGCCACAGAGGGUGAGAGCCCCGUAUGGUCGGACACCAAGCCUGUGUGAAGCUCCUUCGACGAGUCGAGUAGUUUGGGAAUGCUGCUCUAAAUGGGAGGUAAAUCUCUUCUAAAGCUAAAUACCGGCCAGAGACCGAUAGCGCACAAGUAGAGUGAUCGAAAGAUGAAAAGCACCUUGAAAAGGGGGUUAAAUAGUACGUGAAAUUGUUGAAAGGGAAGCACUUAUGACCAGACUUGGGCCGGGCGGCUCAUCAGGGGUUCUCCCCUGUGCACUCCGCCCGGCACAGGCCAGCAUCGGUUUUCGCGGGGGGAUAAGACCGACGGGAACGUAGCACCCUCCGGGGUGUGUUAUAGCCCGGCGGACGAUACCCUCGCGGGGACCGAGGACCGCGCUUCGGCAAGGAUGCUGGCGUAAUGGUCAUCAGUGACCCGUCUUGAAACACGGACCAAGGAGUCGUCCAUUAGAGCGAGCGUUUGGGUGUAAAACCCGCACGCGUAAUGAAAGUGAACGCAGGUGAGAGCUUCGGCGCAUCAUCGACCGAUCCUGAUGUUCUCGGAAGGAUUUGAGUAAGAGUUUUAACGGACGGACCCGAAAGACAGUGAACUAUGCUUGUAUAGGGUGAAGCCAGAGGAAACUCUGGUGGAGGCUCGCAGCGGUUCUGACGUGCAAAUCGAUCGUCAAAUAUGAGCAUGGGGGCGAAAGACUAAUCGAACUGUCUAGUAGCUGGUUACCGCCGAAGUUUCCCUCAGGAUAGCAGUGUUGAUCUUCAGUUUUAUGAGGUAAAGCGAAUGAUUAGGGACUCGGGGGCUAUAUAUUGCCUUCAUCCAUUCUCAAACUUUAAAUAUGUAAGAAGCCCUUGUUACUUAGUUGAACGUGGGCAUUCGAAUGUACCAACACUAGUGGGCCAUUUUUGGUAAGCAGAACUGGCGAUGC
RNAcentral lists this ribosomal RNA (1105 nucleotides) under Diaporthe phaseolorum. Its description in RNAcentral is "eukaryotic LSU rRNA". It matches the Rfam family "Eukaryotic large subunit ribosomal RNA", at positions 24 to 1159 of the family's 3401-position model. The record is from RNAcentral. Lineage: Eukaryota; Fungi; Ascomycota; Sordariomycetes; Diaporthales; Diaporthaceae.